CCUACGGGCGGCAGCAGUCGAGAAUCAUUCACAAUGGGGGAAACCCUGAUGGUGCGACGCCGCGUGGGGGGAUGAAGGUCUUCGGAUUGUAAACCCCUGUCAUGUGGGAGCAAAUUAAAAAGAUAGUACCACAAGAGGAAGAGACGGCUAACUCUGUGCCAGCAGCCGCGGUAAUACAGAGGUCUCAAGCGUUGUUCGGAAUCACUGGGCGUAAAGCGUGCGUAGGCUGUUUCGUAAGUCGUGUGUGAAAGGCGCGGACUCAACCCGCGGACGGCACAUGAUACUGCGAGACUAGAGUAAUGGAGGGGGAACCGGAAUUCUCGGUGUAGCAGUGAAAUGCGUAGAUAUCGAGAGGAACACUCGUGGCGAAGGCGGGUUCCUGGACAUUAACUGACGCUGAGGCACGAAGGCCAGGGGAGCGAAAGGGAUUAGAUACCCCAGUAGUC
Molecule: ribosomal RNA, 446 nt
Filed under: uncultured bacterium
Lineage: Bacteria
Description: partial 16S ribosomal RNA
Rfam family: Bacterial small subunit ribosomal RNA
Source: RNAcentral